Molecule: non-coding RNA, 78 nt
Organism: Potamilus streckersoni
Lineage: Eukaryota; Metazoa; Mollusca; Bivalvia; Unionida; Unionidae
Source: the annotation of a GenBank genome assembly
AGCCGCGUAGUUUAGUUGGUAUAGCAUAGGACCGGACUCAUAUUUCAAGGGUCGCGGGUUCGAUACCUGCCCAGGCCA